This 26-nucleotide unclassified non-coding RNA is filed under the name Mus musculus (house mouse). RNAcentral's name for it is "oocyte_clustered_small_RNA4964". The record is from RNAcentral. Lineage: Eukaryota; Metazoa; Chordata; Mammalia; Rodentia; Muridae.
GGGUAUGUGUCUGGAGUCUGGCAAGG